UACGGGGGGAGCAAGCGUUGUUCGGAUUUACUGGGCGUAAAGGGCGCGUAGGCGGCAAUUCAAGUCAUCUGUGAAAUCUCCGGGCUUAACUCGGAACGGUCAGAUGAUACUGCUUUGCUAGAGUGCGGAAGGGGCAAUCGGAAUUCUUGGUGUAGCGGUGAAAUGCGUAGAUAUCAGGAGGAACACCGGUGGCGAAGGCGGUUCUCUGGGCAUUACCUGACGCUGAGGAGCGAAAGUGUGGGGAGCGAACAGG
RNAcentral lists this ribosomal RNA (253 nucleotides) under uncultured bacterium. RNAcentral's name for it is "partial 16S ribosomal RNA". It matches the Rfam family "Bacterial small subunit ribosomal RNA", at positions 524 to 776 of the family's 1533-position model. The record is from RNAcentral.